Molecule: long non-coding RNA, 721 nt
Organism: Rosa rugosa (rugosa rose)
Lineage: Eukaryota; Viridiplantae; Streptophyta; Magnoliopsida; Rosales; Rosaceae
Exons: 4
Source: RefSeq, a predicted model, not a curated record
AUAAAAUUUCUGCCCCCAAGGAAAUCUUGGCCAUAGAGGACAAAAAGACCCAAGACGAUGAGGCACGUCCACCUUCCCCACCUCCACCUGAACCAGUAAAAGUGGUAGCACCUGUAGUUGAACCACUUGAUUUGCUGGGUUUGAAUGAUCCUGUUCCAGAUACUGCAGCAUUAGAUGAGAAGAAUGCCAUGGCUAGGGUUUGAAUGAUCCUGUUCUCAUGUCAUAAAUACAAAUUCUUGGUUUGGCCGUGGUCAUGUUUGGCCACACAGGGCAAUACCAAAAGUACUAAUUUCUGCAUCUUGUCAUCAAGUGCUAUUUUCCGAGUGCAGCAGCAGCACUGUGUCUCAACGAAGGUGUAUUCAUUUGAGAGGUAACUUCUAUCCUUGAAGAACAAGUGAACAACCAAGUGGUAAGCCACGAAGCUGCUUGAGUAGGUCUUACACUUUUGUUUUCUUUUGUUGUGCAUUUUCAGGUUUGUGGUCAAAUGGUUUGGAGGGUGAUCAAGUAUUUUCUGAGUUUAUGGUUGGUUUUCGUUGUUUUUGUUAGAUUAGAAUUAGCCUACAAACUUUACAGUAAAUUGGAGGACUAUGCAAUUAGUAAUUGGCUUUGUAAAUCAGGUGUUUGCUUCAUAAAUUGGAGGUGUUUUUCUAAUUGGAAGAUUGUAUUUUUAGUGAUAUAUAGUGAUUGAUUUUUGUUAUGUUUGUAUACAGUGAUUGAUUUU